Molecule: ribosomal RNA, 468 nt
Filed under: uncultured bacterium
Lineage: Bacteria
Description: partial 16S ribosomal RNA
Rfam family: Bacterial small subunit ribosomal RNA
Source: RNAcentral
GACGAACGCUGGCGGCGUGCUUAACACAUGCAAGUCGAACGGAAAGGCCCUGCUUUUGUGGGGUGCUCGAGUGGCGAACGGGUGAGUAACACGUGAGUAACCUGCCCUUGACUUUGGUAUAACUUCAGGAAACUGGGGCUAAUACCGGAUAGGAGCUCCUGCUGCAUGGUGGGGGUUGGAAAGUUUCGGCGGUUGGGGAUGGACUCGCGGCUUAUCAGCUUGUUGGUGGGGUAGUGGCUUACCAAGGCUUUGACGGGUAGCCGGCCUGAGAGGGUGACCGGCCACAUUGGGACGGAGAUACGGACCAGACUCCUACGGGAGGCAGCAGUGGGGAAUAUUGCACAAGGGGCGGAAGGCUGAAGCAGCAACGCCGCGUGAGGGAUGACGGCCUUCGGGUUGUAAACCGUUUUCGCCUGUGACGAAGCGUGAGUGACGGUAAUGGGUAAAGAAGCACCGGCUAACUACGUG